CAAUAACCCGACGGACCAGUUGCAGGAACCAAAAUAUACUAAGAAUUGCGCUGGGAGACACUUAAAAGAAGUGGAGGAUCGAUCGGUUUUGUGAGGAAAGAAAAGAUGAGAGUAGCUUCACGGAUCCUUCAUACUCCACAAUUCACUCACCUGGAUGCUGUUCAACCCUGGAAACUGACUGUUGGUUCAUGCUCAGAGACUCAUCACUCUUCACCUGCCUGCCCUCCUGCUACUGCAGUCCCAGAUCACUGGAUCAUUCAGGUUGGACUCUGCUCACUCUCAUCCCGUCUGGACACUUACCUGGCCAACACUGCCUCCCCCCUAGGCACUCUCUACCUACUAGCAAAAGACCCUCGUUCAAGUCUCAUGUGCCACGAACUAUUUCCUGACCAUUGUUCCAGUUUCACGCUCCAUGCAUUAUUCCUUUGAUUGUUGCCUUCUUUUGUUUUUGUAAAUAAAGUCUCAUUAACCCUGA
Oreochromis aureus is the source of this 475-nucleotide long non-coding RNA. NCBI's taxonomy places the organism in Eukaryota, Metazoa, Chordata, Actinopteri, Cichliformes, Cichlidae. The record is from Ensembl.